AUUGAACGCUGGCGGCAGGCCUAACACAUGCAAGUCGAACGGCAGCACAGAAGAGCUUGCUCUUUGGGUGGCGAGUGGCGGACGGGUGAGUGAUGUCUGGGAAACUGCCCGAUGGAGGGGGAUAACUACUGGAAACGGUAGCUAAUACCGCAUAACGUCGCGAGACCAAAGUGGGGGACCUUCGGGCCUCACACCAUCGGAUGUGCCCAGAUGGGAUUAGCUAGUAGGUGGGGUAAUGGCUCACCUGGGCGACGAUCCCUAGCUGGUCUGAGAGGAUGACCAGCCACACUGGAACUGAGACACGGUCCAGACUCCUACGGGAGGCAGCAGUGGGGAAUAUUGCACAAUGGGCGCAAGCCUGAUGCAGCCAUGCCGCGUGUAUGAAGAAGGCCUUAUGGUUGUAAAGCACUUUAAGCGAGGAGGAGGCUCUUUUGGUUAAUACCCAAGAUGAGUGGACGUUACUCGCAGAAUAAGCACCGGCUAACUCUGUGCCAGCCGCCGCCGUAA
RNAcentral lists this ribosomal RNA (507 nucleotides) under uncultured bacterium. Its description in RNAcentral is "partial 16S ribosomal RNA". It matches the Rfam family "Bacterial small subunit ribosomal RNA", at positions 30 to 523 of the family's 1533-position model. The record is from RNAcentral.